GGGAAUCUUCCACAAUGGGCGAAAGCCUGACCGAGCAACGCCGCGUGAAUGAAGAAGGCCUUCGGGUCGUAAAGCUCUGUCCUCAAGGAAGAUAAUGACGGUACUUGAGGAGGAAGCCCCGGCUAACUACGUGCCAGCAGCCGCGGUAAUACGUAGGGGGCUAGCGUUAUCCGGAAUUACUGGGCGUAAAGGGUGCGUAGGUGGUUUCUUAAGUCAGAGGUGAAAGGCUACGGCUCAACCGUAGUAAGCCUUUGAAACUGGGGAACUUGAGUGCAGGAGAGGAGAGUGGAAUUCCUAGUGUAGCGGUGAAAUGCGUAGAGAUAUGGAGGAACACCAGUGGCGAAGGCGGCUUCCUGGUCUGCAACUGACACUGAGGCGCGAAAGCGUGGGGAGCA
Molecule: ribosomal RNA, 395 nt
Filed under: uncultured bacterium
Lineage: Bacteria
Description: bacterial SSU rRNA
Rfam family: Bacterial small subunit ribosomal RNA
Source: RNAcentral